This 693-nucleotide ribosomal RNA is filed under the name Triticum aestivum (bread wheat). RNAcentral's name for it is "partial small subunit ribosomal RNA". Lineage: Eukaryota; Viridiplantae; Streptophyta; Magnoliopsida; Poales; Poaceae. The record is from RNAcentral.
AUGCCUAUGAACUAUUCACUUGUUAUUGAUCCAUUUAAUAUUUGGGGAUUUGAUUAUAUGGGAUCUUUUUCUUCCUCCAAUGGAUAUACACAUAUUUUGGUUGUUGUUGAUUGUGUUACUAAGUGGGUAGAAGGUAUUCCAACUAGUAGUGCUGAUCAUAACACUUCCAUUAAAAUGCUUAAAAAAAUUAUUUUUCUGAGGUUUGGAGUUCCUAGAUAUUUAAUGACUGAUGGUGGUUCACACUUUAUUCAUGGUGCUUUCCGUAAAUUGCUUGCUAAGUAUGAUGUCAACCAUAGAGUUGCAUCUCCGUAUCAUCCCCAGUCUAGUGGUCAAGUAGAAUUGAGCAAUAGAGAAAUUAAAUUGAUCUUGCAAAAGACUGUUAACAGAUCUAUAAAGAAUUGGUCUAAGAAACUUGAUGAUGCAUUAUGGGCUUAUAAAACCGCAUAUAAAAACCCUAUGGGUAUGUCUCUGUAUAAAAUGGUUUAUGGAAAAGCAUGUCACUUACCUCUACAAGUAGAACAUAGAGCUUAUUGGGGAAUUAAAGAGCUCAACUAUGAUUUCAAACUUGUUGGUGAGAAAAGGUUAUUUGACAUUAGCUCACUUGAUGAAUGGAGAACCCAGGCCUAUGAGAAUGUCAAGUUGUUUAAAGAAAAAGUUAAAACAUGGCAUGACAAAAGGAUACAAAAAACAUGA